This 204-nucleotide long non-coding RNA is filed under the name Elaeis guineensis (African oil palm). RNAcentral describes it as "long non-coding RNA (EGUI_LNC007288)". The record is from RNAcentral. Lineage: Eukaryota; Viridiplantae; Streptophyta; Magnoliopsida; Arecales; Arecaceae.
AGCCGAGAUGGUCGCUCUGGUGAAGGAGAUUGUGGUCGCCGUGGAUGACGGCGGUUGUGUCUGGAUGGCACCGAUUGUGCCACCGGUUGCUCCGCCAGUGGCUAUGGUAGCUGAGUCUGCUGUUGCUGGAGGCUUCUGACUGCUUUUGUAAGAACAGUCAUCUACUGCACGAGUGCAGCGAUCUGGACGUCCGUGGUGACCACA